This is a long non-coding RNA of Lates calcarifer (barramundi perch), 315 nucleotides long. RefSeq lists it as uncharacterized. NCBI's taxonomy places the organism in Eukaryota, Metazoa, Chordata, Actinopteri, Centropomidae. The record is from RefSeq and is a predicted model, not a curated record. The transcript is spliced from 3 exons.
GCUGAGGUGAGCAGCCGGAGGUACUGCACCACACUGUCGGAGGUGGUCUCCUCAUUGAAGAGCCUGAGCAGAGUGUCCUCCUGUUCCUCAGCCUGCUGGCACUGCUCCACCACAUUCACAACCUUCAAGAAGGACCAUCAAUCAGAUGCAGACUCCAUCAGUCUCCUCGCUCUCUUCUCCGUGUCCGCCUUGUCCAAGAUGUACUCCUGAAAUCAAGAGUUAGUCGGCGUUGGCCCUCCUCCACCUCCUCCUCCAGGCGCCCCAAACGCUGCAGCAGCUCCUGGUUGGUGAUGGACAGGGUCUCGUGACGCUGAA